AUGACUUGUGGGCUCGGUCUGUCAACCGAUUGGCUGGGUGAGCCUUUUUCGGGUGCCUGGCGGCCUCUCCUGCCGCGCCGCGUGCUUGCAGAGGGGUCGCCCCAUGCGUGUGCCCCCGACUUCUGCAAUAGUCUUUGGUCUUCCGCGAUGAUGGGUGGGUUGACGCUGCUCGUGGUCCCGUCCGUCGGCUGCACUGGAUGCGGAUCCACCGCCUCCCGAGAUCCUUAUCCACCCCAGCUCACGAGGAAGCCGCGGGAGGAGGAGCUCAGUCGGGCAUUAGCCGGCGGGAGGAGGAGAGGCGUGGAUGCUAGCCAGGGAGGUGGAUCGACUCGCCUCUGCUCCGCCGUGAGUGCCGCCGCAGCCUCUGCAGCCACCUUGCUCCGCAUAGCAGCAUGUGUGCGGAAGCGCGGACAGGCGACCACGAGCAGAUCGUGUCGGCGGCAACGGCAACACGCAUGGUGCGCGAAGUCCGGUAAGAUGGGCGCGGCCCGCCCGCAGACAUUUCAGGAUGGCGUGCCCGACAGCUCGGAACGCGCGCGCCCGGCGCACAGGAGGUAUGACUCGGAGCAUGCCGGCGGCAACUUGCACCGCGAGGUCCCGAAGCAGCCCAGCCAGUACAGUGCUCCUCCAUACUGGAUGAACCCUGCGACUCCAUCCUCGCCUCCACUCACAGUGGUGAGGAUCAGUACAGCCACCGGCUUUAUAUUGUGUUUUCUGGUUUGCUCCAGCUUGUUUUUACAUCUAGUCAUAAUUACACCUCUCCACCGACUGCCACCUUUCAUGGAGGAGGGAGAUGGCUUUGCCAGGCCGUCAACACCCAUCGGCAACUUGCGGCAGGCGCCGUCCCGUUCUUCUUCCCCUUACUCCGAUGCCUUCAUGGCCAAAAUCAUUAGCAGCAAGAAGGUUAAGCACCAACUAUGGUUAAAAGCUUUGUCUCUUUUGUUUACUAUCCAUGAUGAUCUGAUUUUGCUGUUUUGA
Molecule: ribosomal RNA, 978 nt
Filed under: Triticum aestivum (bread wheat)
Lineage: Eukaryota; Viridiplantae; Streptophyta; Magnoliopsida; Poales; Poaceae
Description: partial small subunit ribosomal RNA
Source: RNAcentral